AGAGCGAACGCUGGCGGCAGGCCUAACACAUGCAAGUCGAGCGCCCGUAGCAAUACGGGAGCGGCAGACGGGAUAGUAACACGUGGGAACGCGCCCUUCGGUUCGGAAUAACUCAGGGAAACUUGAGCUAAUACCGGAUACGCCCUUACGGGGAAAGAUUUAUUGCCGAAGGAACGGCCCGCGUCCGAUUAGCUAGUUGGUGAGGUAAUGGCUCACCAAGGCGACGAUCGGUAGCUGGUCUGAGAGGAUGACCAGCAUCACUGGGACUGAGACACGGCCCAGACUCCUACGGGAGGCAGCAGUGGGGAAUAUUGGACAAUGGCGCAAGCCUGAUCCAGCCAUGCCGCGUGGAUGAUGAAGGCCUUAGGGUUGUAAAGUCCUUUUAACGGGGAAGAUAAUGACGGUACCCGUAGAAUAAGCCCCGGCUAACUUCGUGCCAGCAGCCGC
This 447-nucleotide ribosomal RNA is filed under the name uncultured bacterium. RNAcentral describes it as "SSU rRNA". It matches the Rfam family "Bacterial small subunit ribosomal RNA", at positions 26 to 518 of the family's 1533-position model. The record is from RNAcentral.